Long non-coding RNA from Pantherophis guttatus, 2532 nucleotides. RefSeq lists it as uncharacterized. NCBI's taxonomy places the organism in Eukaryota, Metazoa, Chordata, Lepidosauria, Squamata, Colubridae. The record is from RefSeq and is a predicted model, not a curated record.
UUGAAAGCGCUGCCCGUCACCAGUCCUUCCGCGCAAAAGAGGCCUCAUCCCCGGGGCAAAAUUUUAAACAGGGAAAGCAUCCACUCUCCUUGCCCGGGAUACGGGAUCGCAUCCUUCACAUCCCGAGGAAGAGGAGGCGGAGGUGGCGGCGUGCAAGAUUUUUUUUAUAGAGAGAGCGCGCUUACCUGCACGUCACGUUUAAGUGCGUAUAGCACUAUUCAAAGGAGGAGGAAGCUUCGUCUUCAGACUUAUAGAUCGUGAUUCCCAAACUCUACAGUAGCUGACUACAAUUAAGGGGGUCAUAAAGACUUCAGAAUCGGUUCAACCCUGAGAAUAUCCAAGAUGUGGACGGUGAUGUCGAUUGCUGGACUCGGAAACAUUCUCAGAGUCACCUUCUCGGUCUGAUUGUCUUCUUAAAUUAUUCCUAACCUGGGAUUAUUCUAAUGCACAUGUUCAUCUCAAAACCAGCUCCCCCCCCUUUUUGUUUUUCACAAAGCUACUAAAAUAAAUAAAAAAAUCAGUUAAUGGGAUAUAAAAGUAGUUCAAAAUUCCCCCAGAUGCUGACACUGCCAUCUGCAUUUAUUCCAUUGUGUACUUUCCUGCUGUGAAUUAUUCCCUGAAUAAACUCUUCAACAGAACCUGGUAGUAUCUGGCAUCCCUAAAAUUCUUCACUGUUGAGAAGUUUAUUUUAUGAAUAAAAAGAAUUCAGCUAUGUAGAAAAUGCCUUGCAGUUAAAAGCAAUAGAUAUAGAUAAAUAUAACUAGAUAGAUCAAUUAGAUAGAUAUUUGUGUGUGUGUGUGUGUGUGUGAGAGAGAGAGAGGGGGGGGGAGAUGGCAUCCAUUCAGAGCAAAUAUCCACAAUGGUUGCAAGCAGAAUUCCAAAUGGAUCUUUUCAGGUGGUUGCAAUAUGCCUAAGGUUUUAUACAGAAUGAUUCUGUUGCAUUCAGACAGUUAUGGGUACUUAGCAAACAGCAUUAUUAUCUCAUACCUCUUAAGAUUGCAGAAGAUUGAGCCAUCUAUAAUAUCAAAAACAAUCUUCUCUUGGUGAGGUGGAUAAAGGGGGAGUACUCAUGACCAUAAGGAAGUUGGAUUAUUUAAACAAUGCUCCAGUACCUCAUUUUAGAGAUAUUGAGGUGGUACAGAUGGUGAAGAAUGCCAAAAGGAGUUAUAUGACUUUCUGAAGAAUGUUCUCCCAAAUGCACAAAACAUACUUUGAGAAAGUUAUUCUGGCAUCUCCUUACUUGGGAAUGUGGGGCAGCAAUACAGUAGACAGGGGUGGUGCAUUUAUGAAGACUAGAAGACUUCCAAGGUACCUUCCAACUCUUGUUCCAUAUUCUGUAUGUCUUCUUUUGAUGAUGUCUAGUUACCUACCAAUAAAUCCCAGAAUUCAUGAGAUACUGUGGUUAGAUUUUGCAAGAUUUGUUUUUGUAUGAAAUCUCUCAAGAUCUUGUCAAUUUUGAUUGUGAAUAUUUGCCUGCUUUGAACUUUAGUUUAGAACAUAGCAGACAAUAAUAAUAUACAAUCAUUUCUGUUCAAACGCAUCAAAAAACAAUGAAAAAAAUUCUAGUGAACAUUUUGAAACUAUAAUAAAAUAGAGAAAAUAUCUAUCAACAAAGCCCAAGAACCAAAAAAGAAUACUAUUCAUUACCCAUAUAAAGGUAAGCCAUUCAGAUUUAAAAUCAGUCCUGUGCAAUAAACUCUUUCUCAUGGGUAUCCGGUUGUAGUUCAGUAUUCACUUUAAAUGUUCUUACAAAGUGAGCUGAAAAUAAUAGAAUGAAACCCCACAGAAUCAAAGGCAAAACCUUUCUCUUAGAAAACAGAAAUCAAAUGCAUAGGUAUACGACGGGAUAAUUCUCCACGUAGUAGUACUUGUGAGAAAGAUCUUGGAAUAGUAGUUGAUUAUCAAUUUAGUGUAACUUGAAGGGUGAUGUGACUGCAGAAAUAACAAAUGAAAAUGUUGGCUUCACGAAGAGAAGCUUUUAAAGUAGCUUUUAAUAAUGAAAAGUAACUGUGCUGCAUUAUUCUGUAUUGGGCAGAUCCCUUGAGUCCAGUUCUGAGCACCACACUUUGAGAGUUCAAACAAAUUUGAUAUUAAACGAUUGGCAGUGUUUAGCCUUGAGAAGGGGAGAAUGGUAUAAAAGGGAGAAGUUUAUCAUGCUUCAUGUAUGUGAAAUAAUGUUACAAAAGAAUGUCAGGAUCUUUUCAAUAUUGUUCCAAAGUGUAGGAGGGGAAAUAAUGAAUUUAACUGUCAGAAAGAAAGAUUUUGACUGAAUAUUAAGAAAAACUUUUAAGAUAACUUAUUAAGAAUAUAUUUAUUAUAAUCAGCCACUGAUUUCUUAAUGACUCAAUUUUCAUUGCUUGCAGGUCCUGUAUUGCAUUAUAUUAUGAGCUAAUAUUUCCUUGUCCAUCCUAAAUUAAUGAAUAUAUAAUACUUCUUUCUGAAAUAUUGUAUGUUACAUGCAUUUGGUAAAAGUGAUUAACAUCCUGAAAACUUUAUAAGCAAUAAAAAUGUUGUCCUUAAAUUGCCACAAUA